CAGCGUCAGAGCCCUGGUCUUGUAAACCAGGUGUCGGAGGUUAAAAUCCUCCCUACUG
RNAcentral lists this transfer RNA (58 nucleotides) under Sebastes longispinis. Its description in RNAcentral is "partial tRNA-Thr". It matches the Rfam family "tRNA", at positions 13 to 69 of the family's 71-position model. Rfam says of the family: Transfer RNA (tRNA) molecules are approximately 80 nucleotides in length. Their secondary structure includes four short double-helical elements and three loops (D, anti-codon, and T loops). Further hydrogen bonds mediate the characteristic L-shaped molecular structure. tRNAs have two regions of fundamental functional importance: the anti-codon, which is responsible for specific mRNA codon recognition, and the 3' end, to which the tRNAs corresponding amino acid is attached (by aminoacyl-tRNA synthetases). tRNAs cope with the degeneracy of the genetic code in two manners: having more than one tRNA (with a specific anti-codon) for a particular amino acid; and 'wobble' base-pairing, i.e. permitting non-standard base-pairing at the 3rd anti-codon position. The record is from RNAcentral. Lineage: Eukaryota; Metazoa; Chordata; Actinopteri; Perciformes; Sebastidae.